AGGUAGAGGCGCGGCCAACAUCAGUAACGAGAGGAAAUCUCCGGGAAGAGUUUCGCGAAAGGGUUUGCCGCCGAAGCCGGAAAAGGUUCCCGCUUUUUCCGCGCUGGGCCGCAGCAGAAGAUGCUGCGGACUGUCACAAAUAUUUGUGGAGCGCUAUCGUG
This 161-nucleotide non-coding RNA is filed under the name bovine gut metagenome. RNAcentral describes it as "Lysine riboswitch". It matches the Rfam family "Lysine riboswitch aptamer". From Rfam's summary of the family: Riboswitches are metabolite binding domains within certain messenger RNAs that serve as precision sensors for their corresponding targets. Allosteric rearrangement of mRNA structure is mediated by ligand binding, and this results in modulation of gene expression. The record is from RNAcentral.